CUCAAUCUCCAAAGACAUCCCUUAAUAAAUAAAAAUAUAUAUAAGGUACUAUUUAUAGUAGAAGAAAUAGCCCAUGCCUUGUUGAAUAAGGAUUUAAAUUUUUGCCGUCUGUGGAAACAGUGACAUGCCACAUUGGUUAUCGCAUUGAAGAAGCGUUGAGUUACGUAUAAUUUGCGUUGGUUCACUAUUUUGGGUGAAUUCUGAAUCAAUUGGUGUGACACAUGUUCCAAGAGCACUUUUCACGUGCCCUCACUUUCCCAAUACAUUUCAGGUGUCCAAAUUUACAUCAAGCUGUGUUUUGUGCUUUCGUGAUCCAUUCCAAGACUUUUUGAG
This 333-nucleotide long non-coding RNA is filed under the name Capsicum annuum. RNAcentral's name for it is "long non-coding RNA (CANN_LNC017163)". The record is from RNAcentral. Lineage: Eukaryota; Viridiplantae; Streptophyta; Magnoliopsida; Solanales; Solanaceae.